GAUGAAGAACGCAGCGAAAUGCGAUAAGUAAUGUGAAUUGCAGAAUUCAGUGAAUCAUCGAAUCUUUGAGCGCACAUUGCGCCCGCCAGUAUUCUGGCGGGCAUGCCUGUUCGAGCGUCAUUUCAACCAUCAAGCCCUGCUUGCGUUGGGGUCCUGCGGCUGCCCGCAGGCCCUGAAAACCAGUGGCGGGCUCGCUAGUCACACCGAGCGCAGUAAUACAUCUCGCUUUGGGCGUGCGGCGGGUUCUUGCCGUUAAACACCCCCUUUUUACCAAGGUUGACCUCGGAUCAGGUAGGAAUACCCGCUGAACUUAAGCAUAUCAAUAAGCGGAGGA
RNAcentral lists this unclassified non-coding RNA (334 nucleotides) under soil metagenome. RNAcentral describes it as "partial contains 5.8S ribosomal RNA, internal transcribed spacer 2, and large subunit ribosomal RNA". The stretch from base 1 to 120 matches the Rfam family "5.8S ribosomal RNA", at positions 35 to 154 of the family's 154-position model. The record is from RNAcentral.